This 386-nucleotide ribosomal RNA is filed under the name uncultured prokaryote. RNAcentral's name for it is "bacterial SSU rRNA". It matches the Rfam family "Archaeal small subunit ribosomal RNA", at positions 339 to 725 of the family's 1478-position model. The record is from RNAcentral.
GCGCGAAAACUUUACAAUGCUGGCAACAGCGAUAAGGGGACCUCGAGUGCCAGGUUACAAAUCUGGCUGUCGUGAUGCCUAAAAAGCAUUGCAUAGCAAGGGCCGGGCAAGACCGGUGCCAGCCGCCGCGGUAACACCGGCGGCUCGAGUGGUAACCGUUAUUAUUGGGUCUAAAGGGUCUGUAGCCGGCCGGAUAAGUCUCUUGGGAAAUCUGGCAGCUUAACUGUCAGGCUUUCAGGAGAUACUGUCUGGCUCGAGGCCGGGAGAGGUGAGAGGUACUUCAGGGGUAGGGGUGAAAUCUUGUAAUCCUUGAAGGACCACCAGUGGCGAAGGCGUCUCACCAGAGCGGACCUGACGGCAAGGGACGAAAGCUAGGGGCACGAACC